Molecule: unclassified non-coding RNA, 386 nt
Filed under: uncultured Planctomycetota bacterium
Lineage: Bacteria; Pseudomonadati; Planctomycetota
Description: uncultured planctomycete contains 16S-23S intergenic spacer region
Source: RNAcentral
CCCGUUUUGACAACGGCAGUCUCUUAAGAGUGCUCAGCUUUACCUGUUCGCAACUUAAGACAAGGGUUUCGCUCGUUACGGGACUUAACCCAACAUCUCACGACACGAGCUGACGACAGCCAUGCAGCACCUGUGCACGCUCCGAUCUUGCGACUGUCAGCGCCCUUUCAGGCACCUAAUUCGUGCAUGUCAAACCCAGGUAAGGUUCUUCGCGUUGCGUCGAAUUGAACCACAUGCUCCACCGCUUGUGUGAGCCCCCGUCAAUUCCUUUGAGUUUUACCCUUGCGAGCAUACUCCCCAGGCGGGGCACUUAACGCGUUAGCUCCGGCAGAGAAGACAUAGAGAUUCUCCUCUACCUAGUGCCCAUCGUUUACAGCUAGGACUAC